RNAcentral lists this unclassified non-coding RNA (162 nucleotides) under Lachnospiraceae bacterium. RNAcentral's name for it is "Clostridiales-1 RNA". The record is from RNAcentral. Lineage: Bacteria; Bacillati; Bacillota; Clostridia; Lachnospirales; Lachnospiraceae.
UGACAUAAGUGUCAAAAGUCAAAAAGCGUUCUUGCUUGCAAGAAAAGCUUGUUGACUUUUGACACUUAUGUCAUUAAAUAAAAAAAUGCACUAAAACUAGUGCAUCUUUUUUUAAUCAACACAAACAACCGUUUCUACAAAAAGCAACAUUUUGUUGCUUUA